This 419-nucleotide ribosomal RNA is filed under the name bacterium. Its description in RNAcentral is "partial 16S ribosomal RNA". It matches the Rfam family "Bacterial small subunit ribosomal RNA", at positions 355 to 776 of the family's 1533-position model. The record is from RNAcentral.
UGGGGGAUAUUGCACAAUGGGCGAAAGCCUGAUGCAGCGACGCCGCGUGGGGGACGAAGGCCUUCGGGUUGUAAACUUCUUUUGCUCUGAACAAGGCGCACCAUGGGGUGUGUUGAGUGUAGGGGUUGAUUAGCGCCGGCUAACUACGUGCCAGCAGCCGCGGUAAUACGUAGGGCGCGAGCGUUGUCCGGAAUUAUUGGGCGUAAAGGGCUUGUAGGUGGCUGGUUGCGUCUGUCGUGAAAGCUCAUGGCUUAACUGUGGGUUUGCGGUGGGUACGGGCUGGCUUGAGUGCAGUAGGGGAGGCUGGAAUUCCUGGUAUAGCGGUGGAAUGCGCAGAUAUCAGGAGGAAUACCGGUGGCGAAGGCGGGUCUCUGGGCUGUUACUGACACUGAGGAGCGAAAGCAUGGGGAGCGAACAGG